GACGAACGCUGGCGGCGUGCUUAACACAUGCAAGUCGAACGGAAAGGCCCUGCUUUUGUGGGGUGCUCGAGUGGCGAACGGGUGAGUAACAAGUGAGUAACCUGCCCUUGACUUUGGGAUAACUUCAGGAAACUGGGGCUAAUACCGGAUAGGAGCUCCUGCUGCAUGGUGGGGGUUGGAAAGUUUCGGCGGUUGGGGCUGGACUCGCGGCUUAUCAGCUUGUUGGUGGGGUAGUGGCUUACCAAGGCCUUGACGGGUAGCCGGCCUGUGCGGGUGACCGGCCACAUUGGGACUGAGAUACGGCCCAGACUCCUACGGGAGGCAGCAGUGGGGAAUAUUGCACAAUGGGCGGAAGCCUGAGGCAGCAACGCCGCGUGCGGGAUGACGGCCUUCGGGUUGUAAACCGCUUUCGCCUGUGACGAAGCGUGAGUGACGGUAAUGGGUAAAGAAGCACCGGCUAACUACGUG
RNAcentral lists this ribosomal RNA (468 nucleotides) under uncultured bacterium. Its description in RNAcentral is "partial 16S ribosomal RNA". It matches the Rfam family "Bacterial small subunit ribosomal RNA", at positions 28 to 507 of the family's 1533-position model. The record is from RNAcentral.